RNAcentral lists this ribosomal RNA (616 nucleotides) under uncultured Legionella sp. RNAcentral describes it as "bacterial SSU rRNA". It matches the Rfam family "Bacterial small subunit ribosomal RNA", at positions 242 to 849 of the family's 1533-position model. The record is from RNAcentral. Lineage: Bacteria; Pseudomonadati; Pseudomonadota; Gammaproteobacteria; Legionellales; Legionellaceae.
UAGCUAGUUGGUAGGGUAAAGGCCUACCAAGGCGACGAUCGGUAGCUGGUCUGAGAGGAUGACCAGCCACACUGGAACUGAGACACGGUCCAGACUCCUACGGGAGGCAGCAGUGGGGAAUAUUGGACAAUGGGGGCAACCCUGAUCCAGCAAUGCCGCGUGUGUGAAGAAGGCCUGAGGGUUGUAAAGCACUUUCAGUGGGGAGGAGGAUUGACAGGUUAAGAGCUAGUUAAUUGGACGUUACCCACAGAAGAAGCACCGGCUAACUCCGUGCCAGCAGCCGCGGUAAUACGGAGGGUGCGAGCGUUAAUCGGAAUUAUUGGGCGUAAAGGGUGCGUAGGUGGUUGAAUAAGUUAUCUGUGAAAUCCCCGGGCUUAACCUGGGCAGGUCAGAUAAGACUGUUUGACUCGAGUAUGGGAGAGGGUAGUGGAAUUUCCGGUGUAGCGGUGAAAUGCGUAGAGAUCGGAAGGAACACCAGUGGCGAAGGCGGCUACCUGGCCGGAUACUGACACUGAAGCACGAAAGCGUGGGGAGCAAACAGGAUUAGAUACCCUGGUAGUCCACGCUGUAAACGAUGUCAACUAGUUGUUGGUGAUAUGAAUAUCACUAGUGACGC